CCUACGGGCGGCAGCAGUGGGGAAUAUUGGGCAAUGGGCGCAAGCCUGACCCAGCAACGCCGCGUGAAGGAAGAAGGCUUUCGGGUUGUAAACUUCUUUUGACAGGGAAGAGCAGAAGACGGUACCUGUCGAAUAAGCCACGGCUAACUACGUGCCAGCAGCCGCGGUAAUACGUAGGUGGCAAGCGUUGUCCGGAUUUACUGGGUGUAAAGGGCGUGUAGCCGGGCUGACAAGUCAGAUGUGAAAUCCGGGGGCUCAACCCCCGAACUGCAUUUGAAACUGUUGGUCUUGAGUAUCGGAGAGGCAGGCGGAAUUCCUAGUGUAGCGGUGAAAUGCGUAGAUAGUAGGAGGAACACCAGUGGCGAAGGCAGCCUGCUGGACGACAACUGACGGUGAGGCGCGAAAGCGUGGGGAGCAAACAGGAUUAGAUACCCCAGUAGUC
Molecule: ribosomal RNA, 442 nt
Filed under: uncultured bacterium
Lineage: Bacteria
Description: partial 16S ribosomal RNA
Rfam family: Bacterial small subunit ribosomal RNA
Source: RNAcentral